UACAGAGGUCUCAAGCGUUGUUCGGAUUCAUUGGGCGUAAAGGGUGUGUAGGUGGCGCGCUAAGUCGGGUGUGAAAUCUCGGAGCUUAACUCCGAAACUGCAUUCGAUACUGGCGUGCUUGAGGACUGGAGAGGAGACUGGAAUUCAUGGUGUAGCAGUGAAAUGCGUAGAGAUCAUGAGGAAGACCAGUGGCGAAGGCGGGUCUCUGGACAGUUCCUGACACUGAGACACGAAGGCCAGGGGAGCAAACGGG
RNAcentral lists this ribosomal RNA (253 nucleotides) under uncultured bacterium. RNAcentral describes it as "partial 16S ribosomal RNA". It matches the Rfam family "Bacterial small subunit ribosomal RNA", at positions 524 to 776 of the family's 1533-position model. The record is from RNAcentral.